AGUGAACGCUGGCGGCAGGCCUAACACAUGCAAGUCGAGCGGCAGCGGGUCCCCGCGAGGGGAUGCCGGCGAGCGGCGGACGGGUGAGGAACACAUCGGAAUCUGCCUGGUUGUGGGGGAUAACGUAGGGAAACUUACGCUAAUACCGCAUGCGACCCUGAGUCGACGGACUGGGGGUGAAAGUGAGGGACCUUCGGGCCUCACGCGACCAGAUGAGCCGAUGUCGGAUUAGCUAGUUGGCGGGGUAACGGCCCGCCAAGGCGACGAUCCGUAGCUGGUCUGAGAGGAUGAUCAGCCACACUGGGACUGAGACACGGCCCAGACUCCUACGGGAGGCAGCAGUGGGAA
RNAcentral lists this ribosomal RNA (348 nucleotides) under uncultured bacterium. RNAcentral's name for it is "bacterial SSU rRNA". It matches the Rfam family "Bacterial small subunit ribosomal RNA", at positions 30 to 360 of the family's 1533-position model. The record is from RNAcentral.